UGAUUAUCUCUUUAUAUAGAGAUAAAGCUGUAGGUUGUUAUGCCUAAAUCUAAUAGGCCAGUUGGCCCUAAUAUUAUAGAUUGUUAUGCUUUAAUUGGAUAAAUCAUUAGAAUAAAAAAUCUAUCCACUAAUCUAUAAAUUACGGUUGUUAGUCAUAGAUACUAAUUAUCCACGUUCUAAAAAUUAUUGGAAGAUUCUAUUUAGCUAAUCCUACUAUUGAGAUGGUUAGUAGUUUGAGAUCAGCAUGACAUCAGAAUGCAUCGUCGGUUUGGAUUUGAGACCAGCUGAAUGCAUAAGAGGUUAUAAUCUUGAGGAUGGUGAUCUGAUGUCGGGGUCGACUUCUGCUGAGCUUGAGUUGAUAUUUACCAUAUUAACUGUCGCCUGGGCCAUUGGCUUGUCCUAUCUUCUCUCAAGUCAGACUUAUGACGUGAUUCAGAUUGUUUCAAUUUUAAGCCGAAGUACUCUAAUCGGUGAAAAAUGGCUCAUCCAUAUGAUUCAUAUCCCAACAAUACACGCGAGAAAACACUCUCGGAGGGCACAACUGUAAAAGCAAAUUCAGGAAUAACAGUGUGGGCACGCAUGCGUAACUUGCAUCUAUAAGUUUGGCUUUGUG
Molecule: long non-coding RNA, 613 nt
Filed under: Elaeis guineensis (African oil palm)
Lineage: Eukaryota; Viridiplantae; Streptophyta; Magnoliopsida; Arecales; Arecaceae
Description: long non-coding RNA (EGUI_LNC074395)
Source: RNAcentral